AGCGGCGGACGGGUGAGUAACGCGUGGGUAACCUACCUCAUACAGGGGGAUAACAGUUGGAAACGGCUGCUAAUACCGCAUAAGCGCACAGUACCGCAUGGUACCGUGUGAAAAACUCCGGUGGUAUGAGAUGGACCCGCGUCUGAUUAGCUAGUUGGUGGGGUAACGGCCUACCAAGGCAACGAUCGGUAGCCGGACUGAGAGGUUGAACGGCCACAUUGGGACUGAGACACGGUCCAG
RNAcentral lists this ribosomal RNA (240 nucleotides) under uncultured bacterium. RNAcentral's name for it is "partial 16S ribosomal RNA". It matches the Rfam family "Bacterial small subunit ribosomal RNA", at positions 94 to 334 of the family's 1533-position model. The record is from RNAcentral.